AGCAGCCGCGGUAAUCCCAGCUCCAAUAGCGUAUAUUAAAGUUGUUGCAGUUAAAAAGCUCGUAGUUGAAUUUUGGGUCUGGGCGGGCGGUCCACCUUCCGGUGAGCACUGUUCCGACGCCGGGCCUAUCCUUCUGGUGAGUCGGCAUGCCCUUCGCUGGGUGUGUCGGGGAACCAGGACCAUUACCUUGAAAAAUUAGAGUGUUCAAAGCAGGCAUUUGCUCGAAUACAUUAGCAUGGAAUAAUGAAAUAGGACGCGUGGUACUAUUUUGUUGGUUUCUGGGACCGCCGUAAUGAUUAAUAGGGAUAGUUGGGGGCAUUAGUAUUCAAUUGUCAGAGGUGAAAUUCUUGGAUUUAUUGAAGACUAACUUCUGCGAAAGCAUUUGCCAAGGAUGUUUUCAUUAAUCAAGAACGAAAGUUAGGGGAUCGAAGACGAUCAGAUACCGUCGUAGUCUUAACCAUAAACUAUGCCGACUAGGAAUCGGGCGAUGUUAUUUUAACGACUCGCCCGCGCCUUAUGG
This 520-nucleotide ribosomal RNA is filed under the name uncultured Ambispora. Its description in RNAcentral is "SSU rRNA". It matches the Rfam family "Eukaryotic small subunit ribosomal RNA", at positions 569 to 1093 of the family's 1831-position model. The record is from RNAcentral. Lineage: Eukaryota; Fungi; Glomeromycota; Glomeromycetes; Archaeosporales; Ambisporaceae.